Long non-coding RNA from Trifolium pratense (red clover), 624 nucleotides. RefSeq lists it as uncharacterized. The transcript has 2 exons. Lineage: Eukaryota; Viridiplantae; Streptophyta; Magnoliopsida; Fabales; Fabaceae. The record is from RefSeq and is a predicted model, not a curated record.
AUACAUAUAAUAAUGACUCAAAUUAAUAAGAAGUUUUCUUAAAGAGGUCUAUAAAUGCAAACAAAUAUUUAUUGAAAGAAAUAAAUAAAACAUAGGACGUUUACAACAUAAAGUGAUCAAUAAAUUUCUAUUUGUUGCCGGCUUAAAAGAAAAAAUAUGACUGGAAUUAUUAAGUUUGUUUAUUUAAUAAUUCUCUUUACGUCCUUAUUUAUUUCAGUAAAUGCCGGCGUUUUUGCGGGUUGGACUAAUUAUUGCCGGGAGCAAGCUGAAUGUGAUAACUAUUUUUGUGGUGCACCUUUCGUUCCAAAAUGCCUUUAUAAUAAAUGUAAAUGUCGUCUUAGUUGGUGGGAUGCUCCGCCAGCUGGUCCCGAAUAAGGUUGAUUUUAAUCGUAAUAGAAUAAGUUUAUCUUAAUUUUGUUAUUGUUGAAAAAAAUUUGUAAAAUUUGUACUCUUUUUUCCUUCAUCAAAGUUUUGUUCUAUUGAACUUUCUUUGAUAAGGUUUUUAAUGAGGCAAAUAUAUUAAUAAAUCUUGUGUGCGUUAUCUUGGAUAAUGGCGUAGUCCAUCCAAAUUUGUAAUUUUCUUCUUUUCAAUAUCAAUAAAUUUUGAGUGACUGUAUUUUAUAA